GGGAUUGUGGCUCAGUGGUAGAGCGCUUGCCUAGCAUGUAUGAGGCACUGGGUUCUAUUCUCAGCACCA
RNAcentral lists this transfer RNA (69 nucleotides) under Ictidomys tridecemlineatus (thirteen-lined ground squirrel). RNAcentral describes it as "Spermophilus tridecemlineatus (thirteen-lined ground squirrel) tRNA". It matches the Rfam family "tRNA". From Rfam's summary of the family: Transfer RNA (tRNA) molecules are approximately 80 nucleotides in length. Their secondary structure includes four short double-helical elements and three loops (D, anti-codon, and T loops). The record is from Rfam by way of RNAcentral. Lineage: Eukaryota; Metazoa; Chordata; Mammalia; Rodentia; Sciuridae.